GACGAACGCUGGCGGCGUGCUUAACACAUGCAAGUCGAACGCUGAAGCUCAGCUUGCUGGGUGGCUGAGUGGCGAACGGGUGAGUAACACGUGAGUAACCUGCCCUCUUCUUUGGGAUAACGCCCGGAAACGGGUGCUAAUACUGGAUAUUCACUGAUUCUCGCAUGGGGGUUGGUGGAAAGGUUUUUUCUGGUGGGGGAUGGGCUCGCGGCCUAUCAGCUUGUUGGUGGGGUGAUGGCCUACCAAGGCUUUGACGGGUAGCCGGCCUGAGAGGGUGACCGGUCACAUUGGGACUGAGAUACGGCCCAGACUCCUACGGGAGGCAGCAGUGGGGAAUAUUGCACAAUGGGCGAAAGCCGGAUGCAGCGACGCCGCGUGAGGGAUGGAGGCCUUCGGGUUGUAAACCUCUUUCGCUCAUGGUCAAGCCGCAGCUUUGGGUUGUGGUGAGGGUAGUGGGUAAAGAAGCGCCGGCUAACUACGUG
Molecule: ribosomal RNA, 482 nt
Filed under: uncultured bacterium
Lineage: Bacteria
Description: partial 16S ribosomal RNA
Rfam family: Bacterial small subunit ribosomal RNA
Source: RNAcentral